GCCUGGUUGGCUCAGUUGGUAGAGCAUGUAACUUUUGACUUCAGGAUUGUGAGUUCAGGCCCCAUGUUGGGCA
RNAcentral lists this transfer RNA (73 nucleotides) under Canis lupus familiaris (dog). It matches the Rfam family "tRNA". Rfam says of the family: Transfer RNA (tRNA) molecules are approximately 80 nucleotides in length. Their secondary structure includes four short double-helical elements and three loops (D, anti-codon, and T loops). Lineage: Eukaryota; Metazoa; Chordata; Mammalia; Carnivora; Canidae. RNAcentral also lists the same sequence under 1 other name. The record is from Rfam by way of RNAcentral.